RNAcentral lists this ribosomal RNA (550 nucleotides) under uncultured bacterium. Its description in RNAcentral is "bacterial SSU rRNA". It matches the Rfam family "Bacterial small subunit ribosomal RNA", at positions 355 to 896 of the family's 1533-position model. The record is from RNAcentral.
UAGGGAAUCUUCGGCAAUGGGGGCAACCCUGACCGAGCAACGCCGCGUGAGUGAAGAAGGUUUUCGGAUCGUAAAGCUCUGUUGUAAGAGAAGAACGAGUGUGAGAGUGGAAAGUUCACACUGUGACGGUAACUUACCAGAAAGGGACGGCUAACUACGUGCCAGCAGCCGCGGUAAUACGUAGGUCCCGAGCGUUAUCCGGAUUUAUUGGGCGUAAAGCGAGCGCAGGCGGUUUGAUAAGUCUGAAGUUAAAGGCUGUGGCUCAACCAUAGUUCGCUUUGGAAACUGUCAAACUUGAGUGCAGAAGGGGAGAGUAGAAUUCCAUGUGUAGCGGUGAAAUGCGUAGAUAUAUGGAGGAACACCGGUGGCGAAAGCGGCUCUCUGGUCUGUAACUGACGCUGAGGCUCGAAAGCGUGGGGAGCGAACAGGAUUAGAUACCCUGGUAGUCCACGCCGUAAACGAUGAGUGCUAGGUGUUGGAUCCUUUCCGGGAUUCAGUGCCGCAGCUAACGUAUUAAGCACUCCGCCUGGGGAGUACGACCGCAAGGUUG